GGGGCAUUAGCUCAAUUGGGAGAGCGCUGCCUUUGCAAGGCAGAGGUUACCGGUUCGAGCCCGGUAUGCUCCA
Molecule: transfer RNA, 73 nt
Filed under: Planctomycetota bacterium
Lineage: Bacteria; Pseudomonadati; Planctomycetota
Also listed under: 2 other names
Description: tRNA-Ala
Rfam family: tRNA
About the family: Transfer RNA (tRNA) molecules are approximately 80 nucleotides in length.
Source: RNAcentral